Molecule: ribosomal RNA, 253 nt
Filed under: uncultured bacterium
Lineage: Bacteria
Description: partial 16S ribosomal RNA
Rfam family: Bacterial small subunit ribosomal RNA
Source: RNAcentral
UACGUAGGCAGCAAGCGUUGUUCGGAGUUACUGGGCGUAAAGGGUGCGUAGGCGGUCCUAUAAGUCUGGUGUGAAAUCUCCCGGCUUAACUGGGAGGGUGCGCUAUAGACUGUGGGACUAGAGUGUGGGAGAGGAAAGUGGAAUUCCUGGUGUAGCGGUGAAAUGCGUAGAUAUCAGGAGGAACACCGGUGGUGUAAACGGCUUUCUGGACCAUAACUGACGCUGAGGCACGAAAGCGUGGGUAGCAAACAGG